This 464-nucleotide long non-coding RNA is filed under the name Ananas comosus (pineapple). RNAcentral describes it as "long non-coding RNA (ACOM_LNC035284)". Lineage: Eukaryota; Viridiplantae; Streptophyta; Magnoliopsida; Poales; Bromeliaceae. The record is from RNAcentral.
UUCUCGAUACAAUUAGUUUCAAAUCCUUUGUACGGUUCUGUCUCAGCCGUUCAUUCCUUUUCUACGGCCACAAUCUCACCAUCUCUUUUGUCUUUUUUGCGGCAUUAAUUAGGUCAUCUUAAUUGCUGCCGUCUCUUCAUCAUUAUAGCCGGCCUCGGAACUCGCUUCGACGCGACGAUUCAACGCGACGGCUUCCUUUUCCUUCGCUAAACUUCGUCUCCAAGCUUCAUUCUCUUUGCCUUUUUCUUUUCUCUCUAUCGUCUUGUCCGCUUCUCUCUCUUCUAUCUGAAUUUUAAUCCCCUUUUUUCCAUCCCUAGGGUUUUUCUUCACUCUUCUUUAGUUCUAGUAAUGGCGCCGCUUCCGCCUCUUCCUUCUUCUUCAUCCUUAGAUUAUACCAUACUUAGAUAGUUCGUCGAAUCAGACCAUUCUCGAUUCAUUUUAGGUCCUUCUUUCACAGACGAACC